Molecule: unclassified non-coding RNA, 214 nt
Filed under: Hevea brasiliensis (rubber tree)
Lineage: Eukaryota; Viridiplantae; Streptophyta; Magnoliopsida; Malpighiales; Euphorbiaceae
Source: RNAcentral
CGGCUUCAAAGGUCUUGCCAUCGGGGGUGACAAGGACGGAGGUCAUGAGACCCAGGGAGCCGAAGCCCUGGGCUACAAUGUCGGAUUGGACGUCACCGUCGUAGUUCUUCAUGGCAAUGAGCAUGCCACCGUCAGACUUGAUCAUCUGCGCGACCAUAUCGUCGAUGAGACGGUGCUCAUACCAGAGACCCUUGGCCUCAAACUCCUUCCUGUG